Molecule: ribosomal RNA, 330 nt
Filed under: uncultured eukaryote
Lineage: Eukaryota
Description: partial 18S ribosomal RNA
Rfam family: Eukaryotic small subunit ribosomal RNA
Source: RNAcentral
CCCUUAGAUGUUCUGGGCCGCACGCGUGCUACGCUGAUGCAUUCAACGAGUCUAAAACCUGGUCUGAUAGGGCUGGGUAAUCUUUUGAAAGUGCAUCGUGAUUGGGAUAGAUGAUUGCAAUUCUUCAUCUUCAACGAGGAAUGCCUAGUAAACGCAAGUCAUCAGCUUGCAUUGAUUACGUCCCUGCCCUUUGUACACACCGCCCGUCGCUCCUACCGAUUGAAUGAUCCGAUGAAUACCAUGGAUUGAGAGUACGAAUAGGUUCGCUUAUUUCUGCUGCUCGAGAAGUGGAGUAAAUCUUAUCAUUUAGAGGAAGGAGAAGUCGUAACA